Molecule: long non-coding RNA, 2741 nt
Organism: Columba livia (rock pigeon)
Lineage: Eukaryota; Metazoa; Chordata; Aves; Columbiformes; Columbidae
Exons: 5
Source: RefSeq, a predicted model, not a curated record
GGGGAACCUUCUGGCAUAACCAGUAAUGGCUGCAGCCGGUCCGGGCGGUGGAAGCAGCCUGGACCCCUUGAAGGAGUUUGGGAGCAGCGCCCUCGCCUUCGAGCGGGACACUGAGGGACUUCCCGGCAUGGAGAGCCUCCCCUGCGCCUUGUGACUGGAACAAAAAUGAAGGUUUGCUGGAGCGAGAAAAGCGGUUUGCAAGCCUGCCAGCAUCGCUGCAUCGCCGGCUCCGCUGAGCAACCUCACGGCUCCUCCCCGCGACUCAUUGUAGGUGGAUGGAUGCUGCGGGUGAACCUGAGCUUUCCAGCUGCUACGGGCUGGUUUUCCUGUGCAAACAAGCUGUCGAGCGUGUGCAGAUCGACAGGACAGCAGCCAAAAUGCUUCGGAGCCUGGUGAGCUGAGCCGCUGUCCCUGCCUGCACCACACUGACCGAGCAGCGACCAGCAGAGGCUGUGACCACGGGUCCCUCUGCCUUUAGAAAGGGCACGAACUCGCACUUGGAACAAGCCUGUGCCAGUCCUGACGUCCCAGAGCUCACUGGAGCGGCUGCUCCAAGAGUGGAGCAGCCUGGACUCCUGGAUCCAUAAGACAGAGCUGCUGUCGCUCCUGCCACGUCCUGCAGCGCGCUGGUACAGCCCUGGGGAAAACGUUAAUUGAGGAGCAAGAACAGCAACGCACAUCGCUGAUAGAUCUCCAAUAAAGCCUGACCUGUUGUUAACCAGUCCUCAGGUUGGUACAUGCUGCUGCUGAACUGGCGAAAAUUAUUCUGCCUCUAUAAAAAGGCAAAUCAAAACAUCUCAGUAACAUCCUGGAGCUCUUCCGGAGAAGCCUGCUCAAGGAACAGGGACCCCUUACACUUCUCUUGUUUUGUGACUCCUGCCUCAGACUGCUUUGAAAAGUAGAAGUGUCACUCUAUUCCAGCUGGAGACGGGAGAGCAGAGGCCGUCAGUCUGGGACGGGUGAGCCGCCAGAGCAGCUGCAGGUCCCAGCGUCUCUCAUGGCAUAGAGUGAAGGUUGGAAAUGCACAUUGCCGACUCCAAACACUGAAUCUUUGCUAGCUGAAAGACCAUGUCCUAUUGCUGACACCUUCCCGUGAGUGCCAGAGUUCACGUCAUUGCCUGUGUGCUCUACAGAGCAAGCGGAGCCUCGCUGCCAGAGGAGCGCACAACCCAAAGAUGGGGCAGAGUGGUUUUCUAUGUGACUUUUCUCCCGUCCCAUGAAGCGUUGUCCCUGCCUGCGCGUGUCCCUGGCUCCCCGCUGUGCUCUGCACAUCGCUGGUGCUCCCGGAGGCUCUGGGAAGUGGCCUGCAGCUGCUGCACAGGCGCGGCACACCCGCAUUGUGCUCCCUGUGACAAGCCAAGUGACACGAGGACAUUGUGGCCCAGGGAGAUGCUGACGGCACCCUGAGCUACAGGUAAUUUGGGGUGUAUCAGUUUUGAAGGGUUAGGGGCAGUCUUUGCCGGACGUGAUUUGUCUUACCUCAAUUCAGAAAGUGAUAUUCAUGUUAGGACAGGAAGAAACAAACUCAGUUGUCUGCCCAGAUCACUACAGACAGAGACCAGGCCAUGACCCACGGUCCAGCUCAACUGCUUCUGAGCUGGAGCAUUAAAACAACAGUUGAGUCAGAGAGUUGGCAGAAGAUCUCACUGUGGUUAUGGUGGGCACAGAGAGACUGGAAGUCUCAGCCAAGGACACGAGCAGCGACUGUGGCCGCCGAGCCGGCUGGUGCUGACCCACCCUGGGUGACACACCUGCCUGGGCCACAGCGCAGAUGUCACCGCACCCGUCCCCUUUGGCAACUGACUUUCCCUUGUCCCCUCGCCCCGCUGGCUGUUAGGGACGGUUGUGUCCCCCCAGCUCUGCGCUGGCAGACAGCGUUUCUGGAGCUCUCAUUUCCAAACAGCGCUGGGAUGCAUUAGCUUCCUCUCCCUUUCUGCUGUAACCACUUAUUUGGCUCUUGUUAUUAGAUUAUUUAUAGUAAUUCUGCAAAGUGUUGUGGAAUCAGUAGAAGGGCACGGUGCUAAAUACAAUAGCAUCACCUCGUGAGAUCUGACAUUUAAAAAGAGGGGAUCUAAUUACUGAAACCAAGGCAGACGGCAAAUGUCAGGAAAAGCCAGUGGCUGUUGCCUUGAUACCGCGACUCCUGUGGUCUGCAGCCUAGAGGAGCCGUUUGCAGCCCGUGGUUGCUCCCAUGGAGCACACGGCCCAGGAGGACAACUCUGUAACCCAGACCAUGCAACCUGUGCUGCUUUUUCAAACAUUGUCUGAAAGCAACAGCAUGAGGCUGUUCACGUUCCUGACUGACCGAUAAGCCCGCUGCCACCGUCGUUCCCACACCCAGACCCUUCUGCUCAAGUUGGGAGGGUCAGAUCCGUUUCUAGACCUGGCCCCAAGGUUUCCAGUCAGACCCAGUCUAAAGCGAAGUGCAGCUUUGCAGCCUGCUUUCUUCUUGCAGAGGGUUCCAGCGCAGAGCAUGUCCAAGCUGUCUGAAAUAGCGCAGCUGCCUAAAAGCUCAAGUUAAUAUUCAUGCUUCGUGCAGAAUUUCAAAUACAUCCACCUCUCAUCGGCAGCGUCAAACUGUCUUGACAGUUAAUGAGCUAGGCAAAGACUCUAAACCAGCAAGUUGUAACUGAAUAAAUAUGAUAAACAACCUGUUUCCAGAUGGCUUUUUAUGUAAAACUAUUUAUGCAGUGUUGAUAGAUGGCAAAUUUUACGCCAAUAAAUCCUCAUAUUUUAAAACA